ACAAUGGGCGCAAGCCUGAUGCAGCCAUGCCGCGUGUAUUGAAGAAGGCCUUCGGGUUGUAAAGUACUUUCAGCAGUGAGGAAGGUGGGUAUGUUAAUAGCAUAUUCAUUUGACGUUUAGCUGCAGAAGAAGCACCGGCUAACUCCGUGCCAGCAGCCGCGGUAAUACGGAGGGUGCGAGCGUUAAUCGGAAUUACUGGGCGUAAAGCGCAUGCAGGUGGUUUGUUAAGUCAGAUGUGAAAGCCCGGGGCUCAACCUCGGAAUUGCAUUUGAAACUGGCAAACUAGAGUACUGUAGAGGGGGUAGAAUUUCAGGUGUAGCGGUGAAAAUGCGUAGAGAUCUGAAGGAAUACCGGUGGCGAAGGCGGCCCCCUGGACAGAUACUGACACUCAGAUGCGAAAGCGUGGGGAGCAAACAGGAUUAGAUACCCUGGUAG
Molecule: ribosomal RNA, 435 nt
Filed under: uncultured bacterium
Lineage: Bacteria
Description: bacterial SSU rRNA
Rfam family: Bacterial small subunit ribosomal RNA
Source: RNAcentral